AGUGAACGCUGGCGGUAGGCCUAACACAUGCAAGUCGAACGGCAGCACAGUAAGAGCUUGCUCUUACGGGUGGCGAGUGGCGGACGGGUGAGGAAUACAUCGGAAUCUACUUUUUCGUGGGGGAUAACGUAGGGAAACUUACGCUAAUACCGCAUACGACCUACGGGCGAAAGCAGGGGAUCUUCGGACCUUGCGCGAUUGAAUGAGCCGAUGUCGGAUUAGCUAGUUGGCGGGGUAAAGGCCCACCAAGGCGACGAUCCGUAGCUGGUCUGAGAGGAUGAUAGGCCACACUGGAACUGAGACACGGUCCAGACUCCUACGGGAGGCAGCAGUGGGGAAUAUUGGACAAUGGGCGCAAGCCUGAUCCAGCCAUACCGCGUGGGUGAAGAAGGCCUUCGGGUUGUAAAGCCCUUUUGUUGGGAAAGAAAAGCAGCAGGUUAAUACCCCGCUGUUCUGACGGUACCCAAAGAAUAAGCACCGGCUAACUUCGUG
RNAcentral lists this ribosomal RNA (492 nucleotides) under uncultured bacterium. RNAcentral describes it as "partial 16S ribosomal RNA". It matches the Rfam family "Bacterial small subunit ribosomal RNA", at positions 29 to 507 of the family's 1533-position model. The record is from RNAcentral.